RNAcentral lists this long non-coding RNA (218 nucleotides) under Capsicum annuum. RNAcentral describes it as "long non-coding RNA (CANN_LNC017229)". Lineage: Eukaryota; Viridiplantae; Streptophyta; Magnoliopsida; Solanales; Solanaceae. The record is from RNAcentral.
UUUCUUGUGUUAGGUAGAUUUUCUUUAUUUUUGUUUAUUUCUUACUAUGGCAUCAUGGAAUGAAUGUGGUCUGAUGGUUGAAAAUCUUAUCUGGAUGAUCCAUGUCCAUAUUGUGAUGGACUCCACUUUUGGUAAGAUUGUAGAUAUGCUCCCCGGAGAGAGAUGUGUGCACCAUCUCCACCCUACCGGGAGUAUAAUUAUUCUUUAUAUAGUGGUCA